RNAcentral lists this ribosomal RNA (482 nucleotides) under uncultured bacterium. RNAcentral describes it as "bacterial SSU rRNA". It matches the Rfam family "Bacterial small subunit ribosomal RNA", at positions 29 to 506 of the family's 1533-position model. The record is from RNAcentral.
UUGAACGCUGGCGGAAUGCUUUACACAUGCAAGUCGAGCGGCAGCGCGGGGGCAACCCUGGCGGCGAGCGGCGAACGGGUGAGUAACACAUCGGAACGUACCCAGUUGUGGGGGAUAGCCCGGCGAAAGCCGGAUUACUACCGCAUAGGACCUGAGGGUGAAAGGGGGGGAUCGCAAGACCUCUCGCAGUUGGAGCGGCCGAUGGCGGAUUAGCUAGUUGGUGGGGUAAAGGCCUACCAAGGCGACGAUCCGUAGCUGGUCUGAGAGGACGACCAGCCACACAGGAACGGAGACACGGGCCAGACUCCUACGGGAGGCAGCAGUGGGGAAUUUUGGACAAUGGGGGCAACCCUGAUCCAGCCAUUCCGCGUGAGUGAAGAAGGCCUUCGGGUUGUAAAGCUCUUUCGGCAGGAACGAAACGGUGCGGGCCAAUACCCCGCAUCAAUGACGGUACCGGAAGAAGAAGCACCGGCUAACUACGU